Molecule: long non-coding RNA, 422 nt
Organism: Cyprinus carpio carpio
Lineage: Eukaryota; Metazoa; Chordata; Actinopteri; Cypriniformes; Cyprinidae
Source: Ensembl
UGAUCUUCAUGGUCGUCGCCAACAUGUCCAUGAGCAUCAUCUUCUGGACCUUCUUGAUGUCGGAGGUCUUCUUCAAAGAGGCAGAGACGGAGGAAGUGUCUCCGGCGUAGAGUCUGUCAGCAUGUAGAUCUCACACAGCUUCAUAGAGAUUCUCCUCUGCAGCUACAGAGCGCUUUCCCCCACAUUUUAAAGUUUUCUGUCAGCCUUUUUUUCUUUUGUCCUGUUUGUUCUGUAACGGGGCUGUAAAAAGACCGUUUGGGAAUUGUGGAGUGCUUGUUCAGUUACAGACUGGGUCUUUGGCCCUAAAACUGAAGCUGGUGAUUCUGAGUGCGGCCGUGAAGAGGAGAGGGUUCGGAUGGAGGAAGAGCGAGCCGGUCUGCUGCCGGGAUUCAACAUCACCGAGCCCCAUCAUCAUCCCAGGA